Molecule: ribosomal RNA, 420 nt
Filed under: uncultured Oscillospiraceae bacterium
Lineage: Bacteria; Bacillati; Bacillota; Clostridia; Eubacteriales; Oscillospiraceae
Description: bacterial SSU rRNA
Rfam family: Bacterial small subunit ribosomal RNA
Source: RNAcentral
GGGGAAUAUUGGACAAUGGACGAAAGUCUGAUCCAGCGACGCCGCGUGGAGGAAGAAGUCCUUCGGGCUGUAAACUCAUGAAGCUAACGAAUAAGACGGAAGGGGAACCUUCCGGGAGAAGGUAAUUAGUGAAAAGCCCCGGCUAACUACGUGCCAGCAGCCGCGGUAAUACGUAGGGGGCGAGCGUUGUCCGGAAUUACUGGGUGUAAAGGGAGCGUAGGCGGGACGGCAAGUUGAAUGUGAAAUGCAUGGGCUUAACCCAUGAGCUGCGUUCAAAACUGUCGUUCUUGAGUGAAGUAGAGGCAGGCGGAAUUCCUAGUGUAGCGGUGAAAUGCGUAGAUAUUAGGAGGAACACCAGUGGCGAAGGCGGCCUGCUGGGCUUUAACUGACGCUGAGGCUCGAAAGCAUGGGGAGCAAACA